This 468-nucleotide ribosomal RNA is filed under the name uncultured bacterium. Its description in RNAcentral is "partial 16S ribosomal RNA". It matches the Rfam family "Bacterial small subunit ribosomal RNA", at positions 28 to 507 of the family's 1533-position model. The record is from RNAcentral.
GACGAACGCUGGCGGCGUGCUUAACACAUGCAAGUCGAACGGUGAUGCUCCAGCUUGCUGGAGUGGAUCAGUGGCGAACGGGUGAGUAACACGUGAGCAACCUGCCCCAGACUCUGGAAUAAGCUCUGGAAACGGCGUCUAAUACUGGAUACGAAACUGGCCCGCAUGGGCAUGGUUUGGAAAGUUUUUCGGUUGGGGAUGGGCUCGCGGCUUAUCAGCUUGUUGGUGGGGUAGUGGCUCACCAAGGCUACGACGGGUAGCCGGCCUGAGAGGGCGACCGGCCACACUGGGACUGAGACACGGCCCAGACUCCUACGGGAGGCAGCAGUGGGGAAUAUUGCACAAUGGGCGGAAGCCUGAUGCAGCAACGCCGCGUGCGGGAUGACGGCCUUCGGGUUGUAAACCGCUUUCGGCGGGGAAGAAGCGAGAGUGACGGUACCUGGAAAAGAAGCACCGGCUAACUACGUG